GCUAAGAAUCUUCCGCAAUGGGCGAAAGCCUGACGGAGCGACGCCGCGUGGACGAUGAAGGCCGGAAGGUUGUAAAGUCCUUUUCCUGGGGAGGAAUAAGGUGGGGAGGGAAUGCCCUACUGAUGACGUGAACCAGGGAAUAAGCCCCGGCUAAUUACGUGCCAGCAGCCGCGGUAACACGUAAGGGGCGAGCGUUGUUCGGAUUUAUUGGGCGUAAAGGGCGUGUAGGCGGUAGUGUAAGUCUGGUGUGAAAGGUCCCGGCUCAACCGGGAACGCGCGCUGGAAACUGUACUACUUGAGUUUAGGAGGGGGAGCUGGAAUUCCUGGUGUAGGGGUGAAAUCUGUAGAGAUCAGGAAGAACACCGGUGGCGAAGGCGAGCUCCUGGCCAUAGACUGACGCUGAGGCGCGAAAGCGUGGGGAGCGAACAGGAUUAGAAACCCCGGUAGUCC
RNAcentral lists this ribosomal RNA (450 nucleotides) under uncultured bacterium. RNAcentral describes it as "bacterial SSU rRNA". It matches the Rfam family "Bacterial small subunit ribosomal RNA", at positions 354 to 796 of the family's 1533-position model. The record is from RNAcentral.